AAGAAAUGUUAAGAAAUGUUUAAUCAUUUAUUUGUUUUUAGGUGUCAUGUGAUCCACUUGGGGUGUAUUCUUGCACAUCAUAGCAAAUCAUAGCAAAACGUAGGAAAACGUUUUGCAAUGAAAACGAGAGUUUCUUAUUGUACAAGUUCAGGGUAAUAAGCCGUUUUUAAUGAGAUCUGUGGAAAUGAAUCCCUCCCUCCACCUAAACUUCACCUACCUAUUCAUUCUAUUAAAAGGCCCAGUGGAUAAUACAACGGUGUCAAAAACGAGGGACAACUUCCCUCUUAGACUGCCUGCCAAUCACCAAGAAACAACAGAAUAUGCAGCAUACUUAGGUGACGAGGAGACAUCUGCUAUCCUGGAAUGCUCUUAUCUGUUUUCCUGCUGUUCUGUAGACAGCACAGCAGCAGAUGCAUUAGUGCUAUGCUUGCUGAGGAGUGAUGGAGUGAUGGAAAACGUGAUAUUAAAGCAGCUGGAUUCAACUACUAAAUCCCACUAACGUCAGACUUGGUCUGAAUCAGACCUCGGGC
RNAcentral lists this long non-coding RNA (530 nucleotides) under Salmo salar (Atlantic salmon). RNAcentral's name for it is "lncRNA (ENSSSAG00000102862.1, ENSSSAG00020074848.1)". Lineage: Eukaryota; Metazoa; Chordata; Actinopteri; Salmoniformes; Salmonidae. The record is from RNAcentral.